This is a long non-coding RNA of Sinocyclocheilus grahami, 88 nucleotides long. RefSeq lists it as uncharacterized. The transcript has 3 exons. NCBI's taxonomy places the organism in Eukaryota, Metazoa, Chordata, Actinopteri, Cypriniformes, Cyprinidae. The record is from RefSeq and is a predicted model, not a curated record.
UCAAAAUCAUUUAUCCAUAUUGGAAGUAAGAGACUGUAAGUUUUGAAUGCCUAUAUCUCCUAAAUGCAAAUAUUGUUAAUGAUUUGGA